This 213-nucleotide ribosomal RNA is filed under the name uncultured bacterium. RNAcentral describes it as "partial 16S ribosomal RNA". It matches the Rfam family "Bacterial small subunit ribosomal RNA", at positions 118 to 311 of the family's 1533-position model. The record is from RNAcentral.
UGAGGAACAUGACCUUCGGCGGGGGAUAGCCGGCCCAACGGCCGGGUAAUACCGCGUACGACCACAUGGGGACAUCCCUGAGUGGUGAAAGCAGCAAUGCGCCGAUGGAGUGCCUCGCGGCCUAUCAGCUAGUUGGUGAGGUAACGGCUCACCAAGGCAAAGAUGGUUACCUGGUCUGAGAGGAUGACACGCACCACUAGACGUAUAGAUACG